UACCACAGAGCUUGUGGUGGGCAGUGGUGUGCCUGAGCCAGCUCAGGGAGGGUUGGAGUCUGGCUUGAGGAUUCUUCUGAAGCAGCUGACUAGCUGGCUUUUAUUGCAAGACAGAGAACACAAGAUCUCUUCAUUGAUCCUGCAAGGUGGCUGUAGUAUUUUGCCUUGAAAGACUGGAAGUUCCCUCCAUGAGAACCUGGGAGGACAAGGAUGGCCUCCUGUGCUGUUCUGCAGAGAGGAGCAGCCUUCGAUGGUGAGCAAAGAAGCAGUAGCGCAGUCCCCUCUCGGGAGCAGCACCAGACUCUAGAAUGCUGCCAUGAAUGUCUUCAACUCUCUGCAUUGUAUGUAUUGAAGAGAUUGGAUAUGCUGCACUUGCUGAUCAUCCAUGAUGGACACAACAGCCUCUAUUUGUGUCCUGGAAGAGGCAGAGAGAAGAACUGGCACAGGCCCAGCCCUGGCAGCAGCACGAUCAUCUAGAAUGCCAGAAACCAGCUCUGCUCCUCCCUGCCACGGGAGCAGGCUUUGAAGGGGUUGAAAGAAGCAAGACCACGGUGCCUCCCUCAGCAGCACUCUCUCUGGCAGUCAGCUCCUGGUGUUCUGCAGGGCAGCCUUGGAAGUGAUGGGAAGAAUUCGUGUGGUCCAUGAUGAAGGAAAACCAGGUUCUGGCUGGUCCAGGCCUGUGCAUGUCGAUAGUUGGCAAUAAAUGCCCUGCCCUCUUUGCCCACGCUGGUGCACUCUUUUCCUUCUGUCAUGGGGCUGCAGCUGGCCAGGGAAUUGGUACCAAAGGUUUGCCUCUCCCCGCCAGAUUUGUUGGAUGGGUGGCACGUUGUCCUCACCACCACCACCACAAACCAAUAAAUGCUAACCUGCAACUUCAGCCUGUUCAGUCUAGGCAGCUUGUUCAGCCAGCCCCUUGGACUCCCUCAGCCAGGAGUGAAGCAUAAGGCCACCCUGCUGCCAUCUGCCUUGACCCUCAUGCUGGGUCUCCCCCUCUUUGACUUUGAAGACUCCCUCUGAAGAAUAUGGCUACAAGCUCAUCUUUUUCCUCAAAGAAAAAUCUGUGUCUUCCAAAGCGAGACACUCUUUCUUAGUGAAAAAACUGCUCCGGCCCCUCUCUUUGGAUCCGGGAGCCCAGCUCUGUAAUUGGAUACCAGCGCAUGCCAAGAAAAAACUCAGCCAGUCAGAACAACUGGGGUAGUGGUGAGCACCAGCUCGCAGCUUACAGCAGGGGGCACAUCCAUGCAGCUUGGGAGGAACUUCAGUCGGACAAAGAAGCAGGCCAAGAACGGAGUGAGGCGGCGAAGGCAAAGUUCUGUCCCCAGGCUAACCAGCCAUGAGUUCAAACGGUUGCCAUUAUUGUGACCAGCCAGUUCACGGGAAACAAAGGAGAGGAAAAGGAGUGCCCAUGAUGUCCAUCAGCCAUGGGGCCUUGGCGCAGUGGCCAGCCGUGAUGAAAACUCCCAGGGCCCCAACAUGUUAACUCAGCUGAGCACUUUUGGAACUGGCUUCUUGUUGGUUGUCUGUGUCUUGUUCUGUAAAGGGAAAUGUUGUUGAUCCUCCAGUAAAUAUUGGCACAGUAUGUUUGACUGAAUGUUACUGACAAUGCAGUGAGAAAGGGCCAUAGUGCCUCACAGUCUCACAACCCGCCUCUGCGUAGGUUGAGCUCUUGUAUGUGAAAAUGUUUUUGUAAUGUGACAGCACUUCUGUAAACCUUUUGGGAAAGGACUUGCUCUGCAAAUUGAACACCAUUAUUCACAAUUAUCUGUGGACAUACCACAUAAUUGGGCUACUAAAUUAGUUAUGGCCUCAGCAACAGAAGGGGCUUCUCAGCAGUGCCUUGGGUGGCCAACUGAGGCACUGGAUGACGGGCCUCCUUCUUUGUGGGCCUCCCCUGAAGAAAAAGGGAGCGCUGCUUAUGGCUGGACCAGAUACAUUACCCCUAAGAAGGGCAAGCUCUACUUUUCCCCCUCAUGGUAUCAAAUUUAUUGUGGGGUUUCUGCAGCUGUCUUUGCGACUGCUAAUAUGAUUUUCCACCACAGUAUGGACGAUGUUUCUGAUAUUGCAUUUCUGUUUUGGUGCUACAUCCAGGAGGCCCACAGGUGGCAUCAGGCUGAGAGAACAGUGUGAACAACACAAUGCUCCACCCCUUGGGUUUCUAGUUGGGAGCUGUAAAGCCACAUGUCUUUGUCUAAGCCUCUCUAUGCUUUGCUUUCUGAGUCUGAGCAGAAAGAAGACGUGAUGGCAUCCCAGUCUUGGGAGCAGCAGGAUCAGCUAGACUGCUGGAAAGCUCCUCCCUGCUGGUGGUGAUGGUAAGGAUUUCUACAGGUAGUGUUGGGUCUUCACUGUUGUGACAUGAGCAUUGUAGACAUUUGUUUUGCAGGAGCAGGCUCUGAAGGUGUGGAAAGAAGCAGUACCAGGGUCUCAAUCAGUAGGGGCAUCUUCCCUGUGCCCGAUGUUGCAGAGGAGCAGCUGCAGAAGUGGCAGAAACGAUCGGUGCAGCCGCAGCCUCAGCCUCAGGUGCAACACGAUUCUCGGACACAAGAAACCUCUGUGACUGGUGGCAGACAUGCUUGACGUUUGGAUCUUGUCACGAACCCAGCUCUGACCGAGAUGACUCACAGGCCAGUGUGGACGCCCUCAAAAACCCCUUGCCUGUGUUGUAGCUGGCUCUGUAUUGAGGCUUCUCUUCGCCUGCACUGUUGGCAGAAGCACCUUGCAGGAUGUCUUGCUUCUCAUUCCUGUGCUCUGCUCUUGGAUGUCUCCGCUCCUGACACUUGAACUCUGACUUUGCCUGCUUCAAAUGGACUGACACUUUCCUUCAGCCUCGCACCCCUCUUGCCCAGCCGGGACAGCCAGAAGACGGACACUGCUCAGCCUUGGCUCUGCUGCCUUGGUCAGCAUUGUGGUCUUCCUUUCCUGAGUACCUGAUAAUCUGCCUCUCCAGCCACUAACUACAUCAGUGUUGUCUUGGAGUCUCCUGUGAGAGGAGAGACGCUGUGCCCCUGGGGCUUAUAAAGAGGGAGGGUGUGCCCCCAAGAGGCACACUGGAUCUAGUCUUCCACCAAGUGAGACUACCUGUGACUCUAUCCAUCACCUGCCCUGCCUAGCAUCCCCCCCCCAUCUGAGGAAGCACCAGCUGCCACUGAGGGAUGGGCCUUGUCUGGGGCUACGCUGAGACUCUGGAAUCCAUUCCCUGCAGAAAUCAGAGCCUCCCCAUCUCAAACUACUUAAGACAUUGGACACAUUUCUUCACCCAAGCUUUUAAAGUAGAUGUGGCUUUAACUUCCUGGUCUUUGACUGUAAUAAAGAUGUGUAUCUGAAGGUUUUA
Molecule: long non-coding RNA, 3328 nt
Organism: Hemicordylus capensis (graceful crag lizard)
Lineage: Eukaryota; Metazoa; Chordata; Lepidosauria; Squamata; Cordylidae
Exons: 8
Source: RefSeq, a predicted model, not a curated record